GACGGAAGGUGCAAGCGUUGCUCGGAAUCACUGGGCGUAAAGGGUGCGUAGGCGGCCGUGCAAGUCUGGCGUGAAAGCCCCGGGCUCAGCCCGGGAAGUGCGCUCGAAACUGCGCGGCUCGAGUGCCGGAGGGGAGAGUGGAAUUCCUGGUGUAGCGGUGAAAUGCGUAGAUAUCGGGAGGAACACCAGUGGCGAAGGCGACUUCCUGGCCUGUUCUUGACGCUGAGGCGCGAAAGCUAGGGGAGCAAACGGG
RNAcentral lists this ribosomal RNA (253 nucleotides) under uncultured bacterium. RNAcentral describes it as "partial 16S ribosomal RNA". It matches the Rfam family "Bacterial small subunit ribosomal RNA", at positions 524 to 776 of the family's 1533-position model. The record is from RNAcentral.